UAAGACCGUCUGCCGCCAGCGAGCGCCAGGUGCGGAGCGGGCGUUAGAAGUUGCUGGCAGUCAGAGGCAGGGGAGCUGUCACUCGCGGCGAGCCGGGCGGCGGCCAGGGCGCAAAGUUGAGAGCAGUCUCUAGUCUGAGCCUUUCAGUCGCCUUCCAGUAUCAUCAGUACCACGGGCUCCACCUUGCUGCGGCCCCUCAGCAACCCAGUGCACCUGCCACUCGACCAGAGGGAAAGCAGUCAGGAGUGGGAGGCCUCUGAACAAGCUGUAUUUUGUGUAGCCGCCAGCUUCCAUCUUUCUCCAGGCAGAACGCUGGCCCUCAGCACAUCUUUCUGCUUCCCCUCGGUCAGACCACCGAGAACUGCCGCUGUCCUGUCUGACUCCUCCUGUUUUGGUACUAGACCCCAGAUGAGGAUCUCAGGAAGAUCCACAAAGCUGCGUCCAGGGGAACGAACGUGUGGAAGCUGCAGCGGAGCCUCCUGCUCAAGAGUAAAGGACCGGUCUGAAACCUACAAGAACAGAAGAGCCAUGUGACGGGAUCCGUGGUUUGGCAGAGGAGACAUGCGAGAAGACGGAACGUUUUGUCCGAAUAGACAUCUGGCAGGGUGGAACGGAGAGAACAGGUAUGGUGGAGAGAACGUCUGAGAAGGUCGCAGGAUUCGCAGGAGCAUCGGGAAAAGAUUGCCUGCUUGCCCGAAGGAAUGGCAAGUUCCAAAGCUGUGCUGUGGGCAGUGUUUAGUUCAUGUCUGCUUUGCUGGCGGGCCGAGUAGCAACAGCUGCAGUUGGUGUGUUCUCUGAAGGCAGUAUCCGAAGGCUGGAGGGGUUGCUUUUCUUCCCAGGUGUCUUUUGAAGAGGCAGUCAAGUCAGCAGCUCGCGGUGAACUUCUGGUAACAUCGUAUGGGCUGGGUUACAGCACAUGCCGACUGCUAAGCCGGUCACUGGGGAAAACCAUGUGAUUGCUGUGAUGAGCUUAGAAUGAUCAUUCCUCCUUCGGGAGCUGGGGUGGGUUGAGGGAGUGAUAAAGAUCACGAUAACCUUGCAUUUCUCCAGCGAGAAAGAAGAAAGAAAUUCCGUGGAUAGGGAGCCAGCCAGGUUUCCUGCAGAAAAUCAUGGGAAGCUUUUGAGCAGGGGAGUCAGAAGAUGAGCGGAACGUUUCUGUUGGCUACAAGGACCGUCUCCAACAUGCUUAGGCUCUGUGAACUUUCCCAGGAUCCUGAGUAGGGUAUCCGCCAUUCGUCCUUAGGGCUCCGGGAUGUCUCGUUCUUACUGUGUCCCUGCCAACCCUGGUCCCAUCUCGUCAUGAUCACCCACUGCAGAAGAGAGGAGGUUCUCACAGUAGACGAGGAGCCUGUUUUUCAGCUAGCUGCCACAAGGGGGCUGGAAAUUUCUCCCUUCAGAGUGGACCUGGAAGGCUUGGAAGCAUCUGGAGAAGGGCAUGGCCACGAGUAGAGAAAUCCAGGCUACAGGCAGAAGUGGGAGGAAGCGAGAGAGGAAGACUCAUGGAAAGCCUUGCUGCACUCGCCAAAAGAGCUGCCCUCGGACUCAAGAGGGCCACGUUCAAUGUCAACCUGACAUAAGAAGAGCCAUGUGACGGGAUCCGUGGUUUGGCAGAGGAGACAUGCGAGAAGACGGAACGUUUUGUCCGAAUAGACAUCUGGCAGGGUGGAACGGAGAGAACAGGUGUCUUUUGAAGAGGCAGUCAAGUCAGCAGCUCGCGGUGACCUUCUGGUAACAUCGUAUGGGCUGGGUUACAGCACAUGCCGACUGCUAAGCCGGUCACUGGGGAAAACCAUGUGA
This 1797-nucleotide long non-coding RNA is filed under the name Homo sapiens (human). Its description in RNAcentral is "HSALNT0346951". The record is from RNAcentral. Lineage: Eukaryota; Metazoa; Chordata; Mammalia; Primates; Hominidae.